RNAcentral lists this ribosomal RNA (506 nucleotides) under uncultured bacterium. RNAcentral describes it as "partial 16S ribosomal RNA". It matches the Rfam family "Bacterial small subunit ribosomal RNA", at positions 29 to 523 of the family's 1533-position model. The record is from RNAcentral.
AGUGAACGCUGGCGGUAGGCCUAACACAUGCAAGUCGAACGGCAGCACAGAGGAGCUUGCUCCUUGGGUGGCGAGUGGCGGACGGGUGAGGAAUACAUCGGAAUCUACUCUGUCGUGGGGGAUAACGUAGGGAAACUUACGCUAAUACCGCAUACGACCUACGGGUGAAAGCAGGGGACCUUCGGGCCUUGCGCGAUUGAAUGAGCCGAUGUCGGAUUAGCUAGUUGGCGGGGUAAAGGCCCACCAAGGCGACGAUCCGUAGCUGGUCUGAGAGGAUGAUCAGCCACACUGGAACUGAGGCACGGUCCAGACUCCUACGGGAGGCAGCAGUGGGGAAUAUUGGACAAUGGGCGCAAGCCUGAUCCAGCCAUACCGCGUGGGUGAAGAAGGCCUUCGGGUUGUAAAGCCCUUUUGUUGGGAAAGAAAUCCAGCUGGCUAAUACCCGGUUGGGAUGACGGUACCGAAAGAAUAAGCACCGGCUAACAACGUGCCAGCAGCCGCAGUAA